Molecule: ribosomal RNA, 260 nt
Filed under: uncultured bacterium
Lineage: Bacteria
Description: partial 16S ribosomal RNA
Rfam family: Bacterial small subunit ribosomal RNA
Source: RNAcentral
UACAGAGGGGGCGAGCGUUGUUCGGAAUUACUGGGCGUAAAGGGCGCGUAGGCGGCCCGCUAAGUCGAACGUGAAAUCCCCAGGCUCAACCUGGGAACUGCGUCCGAUACUGGCAGGCUUGAAUUCGGGAGAGGGAUGUGACAGUAACUUCCGAGGUGUGAGCGGUGAAAUGCGUAGAUAUCUGGAGGAAUACCGGUGGCGAAGGCGGCAUCCUGGACCGACAUUGACGCUGAGGAGCGAAAGCUAGGGGAGCAAACGGG